Non-coding RNA from Podarcis lilfordi (Lilford's wall lizard), 110 nucleotides. The record is from the annotation of a GenBank genome assembly. NCBI's taxonomy places the organism in Eukaryota, Metazoa, Chordata, Lepidosauria, Squamata, Lacertidae.
AACUAAGUUUGUUAUUGGUAUGAGCUUUUGUGUGCAUGCACACUUCUUCAGAAGUGCAUGAAGAAGCGUGCAUGCACACGAAAGCUCAUACCAAUAACCAACUUAGUUGG